Molecule: small nuclear RNA, 164 nt
Filed under: Jaculus jaculus (lesser Egyptian jerboa)
Lineage: Eukaryota; Metazoa; Chordata; Mammalia; Rodentia; Dipodidae
Description: U1 spliceosomal RNA (ENSJJAG00000003480.1)
Rfam family: U1 spliceosomal RNA
About the family: U1 is a small nuclear RNA (snRNA) component of the spliceosome (involved in pre-mRNA splicing). Its 5' end forms complementary base pairs with the 5' splice junction, thus defining the 5' donor site of an intron.
Source: Rfam by way of RNAcentral
AUACUUACCUGGCAGGGGAGAUAUCAUGAUAAAGAAGGUGGUUUUCCCAGGACAAGGCUUAUCCAUUGCACUCCAGAUGUACUGAUCCCUGCAAUUUCCCCAAAUGUGGGGAACUUUACUGCAUAAUCUGUGGUAGUGGGGGACUGUGUUCAUGUUCUCCCCUA